This is a long non-coding RNA of Musa acuminata AAA Group (dessert banana), 6337 nucleotides long. RefSeq lists it as uncharacterized. The record is from RefSeq and is a predicted model, not a curated record. The transcript has 14 exons. Lineage: Eukaryota; Viridiplantae; Streptophyta; Magnoliopsida; Zingiberales; Musaceae.
UUCCCUGUUCUGAACGGAAACAGAGUUGAGAUUACAGGGGAAUAAGAAUUCCUGAUCAUUUUGUUCUUUUUGGAGAUAUGAGAUGAUUGGCUCUUUGCAGGAGAGUGGAGAUCCACCGAGCUAUAAAAAAAGACUCUGAAAGUAAGCAAGCUUAAGGUAUGGUUGGUCGGUGAAGACCGCCACCUUCGCGCUCUCGCCCAUGGCGUUGAGCUUAGAAAAAGACUGGAGUUGCGUGGAGAGCAAGAUGCAGAAGGCUGCAAUUGGUGUUCGGUGAGUAGAAAAGAAUCCCUCUUUCGGAGACUGGAAUUGGGAAGCGGAUGCACACGCUGUGGGUCUGCUUUCUCUUCCAUGAACAGUUGGUCUUUCACUGAUCCUUCGCUUGGAUCAGACUUUUCUUCGUUGAACUUUCGGAUACUGUGGUCAUUGUUAUUGCCCCUAAAUGUGGAAUCUGUAAUGCCCUACGUAGGUCGUAUGCACACACAUACAUGUAUCUUUAAAUGCCUUUUAUAACGAGAUAAAGAAGACCUAAUUGGAAGCUUCCGACUCCUUUUCUUGGAUGCGGGCCCGGUGGUGGUCUUUGGAGACGCUUCUGCUGGUUGCCGCCGGCUCAAAGCAGCUUCCGCCUUCGUGUCGUCGUCACGACAGUGAGCGGACCCGCCAUUCCCCGCAGCCACGAUUUGUGUGCCGUCGCCUCACCUCGCGGAUGGGGACACGGCUUGCUCUGGAAGGAGAUGAAGCAUGGCUAUGGUUCACAAGCACAAUCAAUGAGAAAGCAAACACAAAGUUGGAUAACAAAUUCAAUCUGAAUGAGAGCCAUUCCACUGCAGAAAUAUUAUGGAACCAUGGCCUUGAGUGAUUAUCUAUGAGACUGAGGUUUGUAUUGCUGAAACGGUCUUUCUGCCCAAAUGCUCGAAUAGUUACAGCACCAGAGAGUGAUUCUCCAAAAUGAUGAAGGAUCGGAGCUUUCUGGAUUUCUGACAACCGAGCCAACUCUCUUGCAGUGGAUGGCGUUGAGUCAAAGAAGGACAUUGGGGCACGAACGAUAGAGUGGAGCAUCUUUUGGAAAAAAAUUUGAGAUGUCAAAAGGCCCGUUUUUACAAGCAGAGUUGCUCGGAUCAACACACACACUGAACAUCCAACUGAAAGAAGUAUAUACACUAAGAAGAGAAACUUGAGUCCCACCGUAGACUCUGUAGUUGUAGAUGGAGGAGAAGCCCAUGCCAUCCAAUAGUUGCUUGCUACUUGCAGUACCUGGAAAAAUGCUUGUGCUAUGACUAUUAUGGGAACCAAGGCACCUCCUCGUACUGCAGUCAGGAUAACCUUGAACAGUUGAGUGCCUGUAUGAGCAUCCAAAGCGCUGAAAGGGUCAUCAAGAAGGUCCCCGUUAGCAAAGAGCUCAAAAUCCUUCUUCAGAGCACAAACCUCAAUUGUCUUUUCAUACUUUUCAUUGUCAAAAGGAUUUCCAAAGACAAUAUUUUCUCUAAUAUUUCCUGACAGUAUCCAUGGGGAUUGUGAAACAUAUGCUUUGUUGCCCCUAAUUUUUACUCUCCCUCCAAGCUUUGGUAUUUCUCCAAGGAUGCAUGAGAGUAAACUAGACUUUCCCGAACCAACAGGACCACAAAUAGCCACCUUCAUUCCCCUAUGCACCUUCAGCUCUAUAUUUUCAAGUGUGGGGCAUCCUGAGUCUUGGUUCCAGCUAAAUGUCCCACGAUCAAUCUCAACAUCAACCUCUGCUUCAUUUCUGGGAGCAAUUUCAACCGCAUCAGCUCUCAUUUCGUCUUCUUGGAGGUAUUUUGCUAUUCUGUCAGCUGAAACUUUUCCUUGUGCAAGUACUGAAAGCAGAUCGGGGAGAGUAAAGAUUGGUUCUUGCAGCAUUCUGAAUGUUGCCAACGCAGACAAAACUCUUCCUGCAGUUAGAGGGAUUCCUAUGAUUAUACACGUUCCAAAUGUCACCACUGAUAUGAACAUCGGUGCUCCCCAGAAUAUAAAAGAUGAAAUUGCUUGCAAUCUUAAAGACAUCCACAGCCAAUUGUGCUCAGUGUUUCUCAGGUCUUCUAACUUGCGAAGUUAAGGGAAUAUUGCAUGUCAUUAUCAUUGUUGUUGCUGCUAAUCCAGCCAAAGCUCCAACUCCAAGAUUUUUAUAAAGAACAUAUAUUGCUAGUGCAAUCUGGACGGGAAGCAUCCAAAUUAUGUUUGAAUACCAUAUCAGGUCGGUAAUCCUUUGGAUAUCCACACUCAUGUAGUUGAUAAUCUCCCCACUCGUAUGGCUCUGCCGAGACUGACUUGAUAAAAUGAGGCCCUUUUUGUAUAUAUGAGAUAUUAGAACAGCUCUUAAGCGCAUUCCAAGCUGUCGAGCUCCAAAAAUCCAUUGUCUCUGACACACAGUCUCUACAACUUUGGCACUGAGAAAUGCAAGUGCAAGUACGUAUCCACUCUUCAAUCCAUGCUUCCUGUCUCCUCCUAAGAACUUAACAAAGUUGUCAAUCAGUGAAGGUCCAACAUAAGAGGCCCCUGCAGCUGCAACUGCAAAGCUUGCAUUAAUCACAGCCUUCUUCCAGAUGAACAUGAAGAUUGCUCUGUAGAUUGAUGAAGUUCUCAAGCCGUAUCUUUCUUUGACGUUAUUCAGGCAACAGUUGAAUGAGUGAGACAAGAACUCAGCAUAAUCAUUUUUAUCAAUGUCUGGUACGUCAUUCUGCUCUAGAGGUUUCAUCUUUCCGGUAGUGAAAAGUGGGUUAAGCCAUGAGAAGGUCACAAGUUGUAUAAGACUUGCACUCCUGUAAAAGGAGCUCCUCUUGUUCUCAGCAUGCUUCUCCUUUGAUGUUUGCACUUGCAAUAAUGGUUCUUUAAGGCUAUUGGCAUCGCAGUUGAUCCCUGUUGUACCUCUGACUGAGAUAACAAAGAGUAGCAUGCAAGGAAAGAGACUUAUUAUCUCUGUAUAUUGUUCUACUCCUAAGAUUGACUUUGCUAGAAGUGUGGAGCGUAUAUCAAGAGCAGUACAGAUAGCUGAUUGCAGGAAGCUGCAUAUGAACCAUGUUCUUAUUAUCCAAGAAAGUUUUACAGAUCUAGCUUGUGGGAGAUUAACUAUGACAGCAACCAGAAAUAUCCAUGAUAUCAACUGUGUUGUCUCAGCUACAACUGAUACAAUGUACUUGCAAUUGCCUCCGCUUCCUUCUAGCAGAAAGAAAACAAGUCUGAACAGGUUGAUGGCCAAUAUCAGGGAGCAACAAACUUUAGCAGCUUGGUAUGUCGAUCCCAAGCGUAUAUGAUCAAGCUUAUGCUCAUCAGUAGUGCAAUUUUGCAUCUCUUCAGCAAUAGUCCUGCUUUCUUUUUCACAUGAUUUGUGUAAUAUUUUCCAUAGGAGUUGAACCAAGAAGCAACUGAUAAAGAUGAGAUUGAGAAAUGCAAAAACAUUCUUCCAGAAACAAAGGACGCUGAUAUCUUGCCAUCCUUUCCAAGAUUGAAGUGAAUGGAAAUCUGCAAGUGCAGCAUGAAGUACCUUUUUCAGUUUGUAAUGAACAACAGUUUUGUAGCUACGACAGGAGAGUGGAUAUCCACCGAGGCAAAGGCAACAAGAGACUCCAGAUGACAAAUCAUGUCCCUUCUUCUUGCAUGCACAUGUUUCUUGGCUUAACCUGCUUUCUGCAAGUGUUGCACUACAGCUGGGCCUCUCUGAGCCUUGGGCGCCAAGAAAUCCAACGCAUGGAAGUGAGCUUAAAUAUAUGCUUUGUUGGUGGUGAUCACUAUUUCCGUCAUCUCGAUGGCACUGAGGUUAGAAAAAGACUCGAAUUGCGUGGAAAGCAAGAAGGUGAUGCUGAAAGCUACAGUGUUGGAGGUGCAUUUCCUCGUCAGCAGUAUCAAGUAAGUCGACUGUUCUGCUGACUUUUAGACUGGAAUUGGCAGAUGGAUCUACACACUUAAGCAGGUUCUGCUUUCUCUUCGAUGAACUUUCAGACACAACAUACCUUACAACUGAUAGCAAAAGUGUGAUGUGACACCAAUACUGUGUCGAGUGUCUGAACUGGUACAUUCUCGGCCAUGAUUGAAAUGUGAUCACUGCACUUGCCUGCUAUAAGACAGAGAACCUUUAGACCAUCGUGCACCAUUCUCUCGCGUGCAGGCGGGAAGUGGGAGACAGAGAGCCAUGGAGCAACGCUGGAAGAUGGAAGAACCAGGCAAGGUGACAGUCGCUCAUGGAUCGAUCAUGGUGCUGCCCACUACCAAUCUCUUGGGAAGAGAGAAUCCUCACAGCUGUACUCGACUCCUGGGUCGAUCACGGUGACACCAAUUUGGCAAAGCUGACAGUGGAACUGCACCUAUUUGGCAAGAGAGGGACAAGUGCAUCAAAAAGGUGACAGCCUGAGAAGGCAAAUAAAAUAUAUGUUUCUGGUCGCAAAUCGUCUUACAUUAUAUAGUAUCUAUUAUUUCUUUGAAGUUUUAAUGCCCACAGAGAGAUUAUAUUCAGUAUCAUAGCCAUUAUAUUCAGUAUCAUUACGGGAGGGACUGCAAUGGCAUUUACCAGACGAGGCCCAUGUCUGGAGGCGCCCGGCCCGGCCCGGCCCGGCCCGGCCCGGCCAUCAUGCCACGAGAGCAGGACGGACGGCAGAGAUCAUCGUCCGCAUACUACGUUGCAUCCGCCUCUCCGCAGAGACCCUUUUCUGCUCUCCCACAUAGUCGUCCUCGACUCCCCGUCACACGUGCGGCAAUUUUGGGGUUUCUUUACCGGUUUCGGAGGGGAGAGCCAACGAGGCCAUCGGGGUUUCACCGAUCGCUCCCGGUUGUUACGAUCUCUCCUCCUCUUUCAAGAAUCCAUGUCGGAGGCUUCACUUUCUUUGGAUUUUCCGCGGAAAGAUGUACCCGUCUUUCUCGAAGAUGGUGAAGGUGGUUCGGUGAUCGAACACAGAAACAACUGCAAGGCGCCUGGUUGAUUGCGGUGAUUAUGAUGGGGAUUUGUAUCGAGAGGAUCCUCUGGAGUCCGAAGGUGGGUUUGGGAAUAUCAUUGUGGUGGGCAAUCUGCCGGUGAUGCCGCUGGAAAACUUUGCGAAGCUCGAAGGUGUAAGAUGUACGAUCAAGAAACGGGAGGCUCGAAUAUUCAGGGAAAGACGAAUGGACUCUACGUUGGACAAAUCAUAUGCAUGAUGUUGAUCUGUUUGGUGACUUCAAGAAGUACAUGAUGAUUCCAGAUGAGUGGAAAUCUGCUGAAAUUAGAUCAAACAAACCUGGGUUGUUCUAUGUAAUUUGUUGCUUAUUCCCCUCUUCACUAUUGGACUAAGAGCUCUAUCCAGUGGCCUCUUCUACUUUUCAUUGUUUGAUGCGUUUUGCCUAUUCUCAGUUUUCAUGGCAUUCCUGGACUUCCACCACUCGAGGAUGCUGUUGAGGAGGCUGAGAUCGUUAGGAACCGGAAGCACAGCGAGAAGUAUGAAGCAGAGGACCAGGAUGUCCCCAUGCAAUUGAACGAGCAGUAAGGUAAAAAGAGAUGAUGAUGUGAGGAACAGUGAAAUGAAUCAGGAACCAAAUGGAAGCAGUUGCGUUAGGAAGAGAGGUUGCUGAAGGGUUCAGUUGAGGGAUGAAGAGAGAAGGGGGUUAUGUACGCUGGUUGACUUGGUUCAGGAACCAAAAAUUAAUCUCCCUACUCCAUCUUGCAGUAGAUGGGACUAAUAUGCUGGUUGACUUGGUUCAGGACCAACCACUGGUGUCCGUUUUAAGGAUGGUGCACUCCAUGAACUACAGCGUGGUGCCAUUGUCAUCAUCACUCCACCAAUCGUGACUUCGCCAUCACGAAGGGCAAUCUCAGAAGUGACGGAGUGGUGCUGGUGAUGGGGGUUGAGGACAAGGUGCCUUCAGUCACAAGACCGACAUGCGCAUGGGACUUGCAUGCAUUAGGAGAGGAGAGGGUGGAUGUACGUUGAUGAUCACUACGGUGUCUUCGCUUGCCUUGGCUCUACAUUCUCUUGGUUUUUUGGUGGGUUUUGAAUUAGCGUAUUAGUAUGUUUAAUCGAUUUUAAAACUUAAUAUGUUUCAAAAAUCGAUUGAUCAAACUAAGUAAAAAGGAUAAAAUUAACUCUGGACAAUUAAAUAGCGGCAAAUCGAUGUAUAGUAGUUUAAUUUUUUAUUUAUAUAUUAAAGAUUUUGAUAAUGAAAUCAAUUGAUGAGCUUAAGAAAAAUAGUAUAAGAAAUAUUUCGAUCACAAACUUAAACCAUCGAAAGGUCAAUUGUUGAGUAGAAGUGUUGAAUGUUAUGUUGAGAAAUUAUUAUGUUGAAAAUUGAAUGUCGAGUCAAAGAAUUGAUCGUUGAUCGUGUAGGUGUCGAAAGUUUUAUAAAUGUACUGAUUUAAGUGUAA